AAAGAAAAUAUAAAACAAAACGAAAAUAAAGGAGAGAAAAACACCUGAGCUUUUAUGGGAAAGAUGAUGGCGUGACAAACUUUGGGCCUUGACAAACUACAUACGUGGCAACUGUUGGGUUUGAAACCCAACUUGCAAAACAAAGGUCCAAUAUGAACAUUGGAUUCCUGUGAGAUGGUUGAAUGGGAUGUAGCUGGCAUCCUAAUUUGAAAAUGGUGUUUGCAAGUUCCCAAGUCUGAAGAAGAAAAGUCGUUAUCAGUCCUCAGUCUUUGUCAGUCAUUCUACCCAGAGCCAACGACUCUUUACCUCGCCAUUUGAAAACCACCCUCCUCAGAAAGGCACAUAGCUCUUCCCAUGUUCAAAACUCUCAAACCCAGCCAUCAAUUCAAACCUCCCUUUCACAGCAGCUCAUUCGUUCUCUAUAAGCGCUGCAUCCGUAGCCUUCCAUAAUCCAGCAACAAACACACCUCCGUGAGUACCUAGCCGUGGUGGAAAAUCGGAAAAACUAAAACCCAAAGGUAAAAUCAUCCUCCAAUCUUUUGGUUUCAUUGUCAGAUUUAUUUGUUUUAGAGAAAUGGAACAAGAACUAACACAUGCACGUGGUUUUAUCGGUGUGAGGACCCCUCAUGGUUGCAAAUCCGAGCCGAUCUACUCCAUUCGCUUGUCUCUGCUGAAACCCGAAACCCUUCAGCUUCUACCAUGGAAAUAGGAAGGUAAGAUCCAUGCAUCUAUUUAACUUUACUCGAGCAGCUCAACACGGUUGUUUUUAUGUCUCAGAUACUCCAUGCUGCAUGUGUAAGUAUGUUUAUUUUGUUUGUGGGCACAGGUCCUCGAUCUAGAAGCUUAACAAUGACAAGGAAAAUGAAAACCAGCUACGACAUUGCAGAUCCUGGGCUUGCAGAGGUAAAACUGUUGUUCUCCACCAGUGAUGAAACCCCAUUUCUGAAAGUGCUUCAUCAUUACCCCCUGUAUGUGUCAUAACUCAUAAAGAUGUGUUGUUUUUAUUUUUAUUUUUACAGGGCACUUGGAUUCCUGACAUAUCCGAGAAAAAGGACAUGUUGACGGUGCGGAUCCACUGGACAAAAAGCACGGCACCUUGCAAAGGUCUUGAUCUGUCGAUAUGGAAGGUAUACACUCAUCCUUCCAAACUAAAUAAGUGACAUUUUUUUUCAUUUGUUGAAUGCAUCAAAAUUUUUGCUUCGGUACUGGAUUUGCAACAACCACCCCCAAACUUGCAUAUUUGAUUGAGCUUAUGUGAUUGCUUGAAAUUCCAGUAUAAUGUAGAUGUGGUUUAUGUGAAUGUAAACUUGCUGCUGGGUGCAUGAUUCCAGCAUAGGAUAAACUGUCUCUAUUUUCCCUUAGUUUCCAUGAGUGCACCCUACAAUUAACCAAUAUAAGCGAAUAUUAAAAACGGAGCUAAAAUCAACUGCGUAAAUAAAGAAAGCAAAAUAUUUUUGGAUUUUUCACGUUUUAAUUUUUUAAUUUUUUAAUUUUUAUAAUCUGUAUUUUUUUAUUAAAACUUAGGUAUGUAAAUCCAUCCAGAAAUUUAAGUAAUAAUAGAAAAAAAUCAAACGAAAAAUAAAAUAAGGAAAGAGUUUAGAAAAAUUGGGUUGCCUCCCAACAAGCGCUUUAUUUUAAGUCUGUAGCUAGACGUUGUAAAAGCGUGGUGGUCAAAUCACUGGUUCUUUCAAAGUCAAAGACUCCCUUGCACCAAAUUUCCCUAUGCAUGGUUUAAGUUGAUGUUUGGUAACCUUAAAUGGGAAAUCUUUGCCCUCAGCUGUGAUUUCUACAUUACCAUUUUGAAAAACUUUAGUAACUAGAAAAUGACCUUUCCUUGAGACUCUUGUCUCCCUGGAAUUAACUUAAAACUGGAAUUUAAUAGCCACACCUUUCUACUAGGUUGUAUUUUCUUAAAAUUUGGGCUGCCUGGCAAAUUGUCAUGUUUUUUCUUAAUGUUAAUCGGCUGGACAUUAUGUUGCACACUUUGCUGUUGCAAUUUAGGACUAAUGCAAUCACGAAUCAAAUUUGGAGGCUUUAUGGACAGAUGGUCAGUUGAUGAUCUGGUUAUAAAAUCAACACUAGGUAAACCAUCUAAUGCAUCAACACGCAUGCAUUCUUGCUUAUCACCUAAAUGUAUGCUUUCUUCAAACAACCUAAAAACAACUAUUUGAUCUUCGACCCGAAAUGUUAGUGUUCCGGCUUCAACAUCAAUAAGAGUCCGGGCUGUUGCUAGGAAUGGGCGGCCCAAGAUGAUGGGUGUUGUCAAAUCCUCAUCCAUGUCUAACACCAUAAAAUCAGCUGGUAAAUAUAAUUUGUCAACCUUCACAAUAACAUCUUCAAUGAUCCUUCUAGGAUAGGUAAUUGAACGGUCAGCCAAUUGAAUAAUGUUGGAGGUUGGCUUUAGCUCUCCUUCACCUAAACGUUUAAAAACAGAAUAAGACAUUAAGUUUACAUUAGCACGUAAUUCAAUUAAAGUACUACUAAAAUCACAAUUUCCAAUGGUGCAAGAGAUAGUAAAACUCCCUGGAUCUUUUUUCUUUAGGGGAAACUUAUGUAAUAAAACUGCGCUACAGUUCUUUAAGAAUCACUUUUUCAAAAUCAACGAGCUUCUUUUUCUUUGAGCAAACGUCCUUAAAAAACUUGGCAUAAUAUGGAAUGUUCUUGAUUGCAUCAGUUAAUGGAAGAUUAAUUUGAACUUUAGCCAAAGUCUUCAUAAAAUCUGUCAAUUGUUGAUCAUUAGCUUUACGCUUCAACCUUUCGAGAUAAGGCAUAGAAGGCACAUAAACACGUUCUGCAAUUUUUGUGGUAGCUUCUGCAAUAUUUUCGGAUUUAUCUAGUGGAAGCCCAAAAUCUGCAUAAAUUGCAGAUUUAGUUUGGGGCUGUUCUGCUGCCUGAGAAUUUCCAGCGCAAUUUUCAUGUCUAUUGUCAUAACUUUUGCUAGACUGUAAAGUUCGUACAGCAUUGCAUUCUUCUCGUCCUCUUGGAUUAGGUACUGUUUGACUAGGAAAUGUACUCGAUGCUCUUUCUGAAACCUGCAACGCAAUCUGCUCAAUUUGUUUUUCCUUAUUUUUCAUUGAUGCAUGCAGAUUUUGGAUUUCUUGACUGGUAGUAUUAGCUAAUUUUUCAAUUGCAAUUUCCCAAGUAGCCUUAGGUGCCUUAGGUUGCUGUAAUUGUUGUUGAAAUUGUGGCAUUGCAAGCUGAUCACUAUCCCACUUUAAAUUACAAUGAUCUCUCCUACCCGGGUUGUAGAAAUUUGAAUAUGGGUCAUAUCAGGGACGCUGAAAAUUACUGAAUGCAUUAACCAACCUGCUAAGCUGUAAACUCAGGAAAAACAUCUUUAUGUGGACAGGUCAUAAAAUCAUGAGUUGUCAUGCUUCAAAUGCUGCAGGCAGCUUGUAAGGGCUGCUGUACAACAACCUGUGAACCUGGAAUUCUUUGUAAUAACAUGUCAAAUUUUACAUCAAAUCUUUCAAGGUUUUUCUCCAUUUUUUCAAUUUGUGCCGACACAUAUGGUGAACCAUUAGACAUCUCAAAAACAGACUUAGAUUGUGGCUGCUUAACUGCCCAUUGCUGUGUAUCUGCUACCAUUUUUUCAAAUAAUAAACAAGCCUCUUGUGCAGUUUUAUCCUUGUACGAACCUCCGCAUGAAGCGUUGACAAGGGUUUUUAUUGUCAUAUUUAACCAUCUGAAAAAUAUAUGUAUCUGAUCA
RNAcentral lists this long non-coding RNA (3709 nucleotides) under Malus domestica (apple). RNAcentral's name for it is "long non-coding RNA (MDOM_LNC010774)". Lineage: Eukaryota; Viridiplantae; Streptophyta; Magnoliopsida; Rosales; Rosaceae. The record is from RNAcentral.